GAUGAACGCUAGCGGCAGGCUUAAUACAUGCAAGUUGAGGGGCAGCAUGAUAUACGCGAGUAUAUUGAUGGCGACCGGCGGACGGGUGAGUAAUAGGUAGGAGACCUACCUCAUACAGGGGGAUAGCAUAGAGAAAUCUGUGGUAAUACCCCAUGAGGUUAUAUGAAUAGAGGCAUAUAAUCAAAGCAUAAGCGAUUAUGCGGUAUGAGAGGGGCCUACUGACCAUUAGCUAGUUGGUGAGGUAAGGGCUCACCAAGGCGAAGAUGGUUAGGGGUUUUGAGAGAGAGACCCCCCACAUUGGAACUGAGAGACGGUCCAGACUCCUACGGGAGGCAGCAGUAGGGAAUAUUGGGCAAUGGGCGAAAGCCUGACCCAGCCAUGCCGCGUGAAGGAAGACGGGCCUUAAUGGGUUGUAAACUUUCUUUACUACGCGAAUAGAGGUUAGUACGAGAUACUAAUAGGAAGGUAGUGUAAGUAAAAGCAACCGGUAAC
Molecule: ribosomal RNA, 492 nt
Filed under: uncultured bacterium
Lineage: Bacteria
Description: bacterial SSU rRNA
Rfam family: Bacterial small subunit ribosomal RNA
Source: RNAcentral